GUACUGUAUUUUAAGCGAUAUAGGAGUAAAUCUAAAAUAAUCAGUGAGAAAUAAGCCUAAAUCAAGCUUGCUAGACCAACAACAUAAAUAAUCUGAUCUUAGAAUUUACCAAAGCUAUGAAACACACAUCCAAAUCAGCCAGCCUUAACUAGUUAAACUAGGAAUCAUAGUCCUUAAUUAAUACAUAUUCUACCAAGUUCAAAACAUUCUUGAAUCAGCUGUAUUCACACAAGGUCCAAAUCCAGCACUUAAAACCAAAUGUAUAUCAGGAAAUGGAGUAUUCACACUAAGCUAGACUAAAACAUGAAUAAGAAUAUGGCAAAAUCAAACAGUAACCAACAAUAAGGACUAAUGUUUUUCAUUCAACUUCAGCUCGGUUUACAAAUCUUUAUAUGAAACUCAAACAGGCUUCAUUUCCAACCAUGAUUUCAGAAGAGUACCUGGUGCAGUUAGAGCAAAGAAAAGAGGAAGAAAUCAGUAGAGCAUCAACAAGAAGUCAGCAGCAGAAAUCAGCUCAAACCAAGCUUGAAUGCCCAAGUUUAAAACUCAAAACAACCCCAGGAGCUUUAAAAGAACCUCAUACGCUAACCACAUGAAUGCUUAAACCAUUUUCAACUCAAAUAAACCAGAGAUUUGAUUCAGAACUGGAAAAAAAACUUCAAAAUCACCAAAUGAAUUUCAAUGGAACAGUAGUUUUUAUCUAUCUUUUAGCCAUUUCUCUUUUUUUCUAUAUUUUUUAGCCCUUCCAAAUCUGCCUUGAGCUCUAAGUAACAAUACCUUUAUAGGCAAGCUACUAGGGCAGCCUUAAAGAAUUCAAAAUUGCCCUUAAAACCUUCUGAAAUUUUCAUUUUAGCUUAGCAAUCUCUGGUGUAAACCUCAGAAUUCCAAAAUAGCCCCCACCCCAGCUUCUUAGAAGCUUACUCAAUCAGUUUUCAAAGAUUCCCUAAACCAGAAUUCCUAAAUUACCCUCAAACCCCUGAAAAUUACCCUCCAGGACCUCAAAUGGGUCAUGGGUCAAAUGACCUAAUGGUUAAACCAGACCUGGGCUCAAAAAAUCAAUUCGAAUUCUUUGGAAUGGUUUCUGAAAUGAAUUCAGAGCUCAAACAAAAUGAACCAAGAUUGAGUAAAUUGUGGCAAGCGGUAGGAAAACGACUAAACAAUUUUCACAAAACUUAAAACCUAAGCGAAGGGACUAAAUUAUCAUAUAAUCCUAAUUAAGAUAACAGGGCUAAACAAACAAAGUGAAAUCAGAAAUUAAUCGUGUCGUCAACAAAAGAACUAGACAGACCAAACAAAAAAAAUCACAGAACCAAACUUGAAAUGAAAAAUCUGAAAAGGAACAAAACGGACAGUAUCAAUCUCAGCCAAAAACUCGUUCAAUUUUAGUUUAAUUAACCGGAGGGAGAGAGAAGAAGAGAAGAGGAGAGAAAGCUGAAAGAAUCACAAGAGUGAACGAAAGGAAAGAAAGAAACUCACCAACUCGGGCUCAAACUUUCGACUGACUUUCUGAUUUAAACCCCUGAAUAACGUCAACUACUUAUUCUUUGUCGAAUAACGUUAUUCCAUAGUAGAACUGGCCCGCAACACUCAUAAAAACUGGGGAAACACCAUUGCAUGUGCAGAUUUGGUUUUGACUUCUGGGGCUCGAACCUUAGAUUUAAGAUUCGAGACGCUCUAGCAAGAUUCGAGGGGAACGGAGUGGGGAUUUGAUACAAUGGGGUCAUGGUCGUUUUACGGUGUCAAUUUGGUGGUGAACAGAGGCGGCGCCGCCACCGGAGGAAAUGAGGGCGGCGCUAGGGUUUGUGACUUCAUCCUCAGAUUCGAGAGAUUCUGGGUGUGUUCGAAUGAAGUUGGUUGUGGAUUGGGAUUGUAGAGGGGAAGAGGAGUUUAGGGUGUGAAUAUGGUGGUCAUCGGAGACUCGCCGCCGUUCUUAGGGUGAUGGAUAACAGGGGCGGCGUCUUUUAGGGUUUCUGAGGCAGGGGGUUGUGAGAGACGAUGAGGGCUGGGGGGAGGGGGGGUUUCGU
RNAcentral lists this long non-coding RNA (2024 nucleotides) under Nicotiana tabacum (common tobacco). RNAcentral's name for it is "long non-coding RNA (NTAB_LNC007688)". Lineage: Eukaryota; Viridiplantae; Streptophyta; Magnoliopsida; Solanales; Solanaceae. The record is from RNAcentral.